RNAcentral lists this ribosomal RNA (520 nucleotides) under uncultured bacterium. RNAcentral's name for it is "bacterial SSU rRNA". It matches the Rfam family "Bacterial small subunit ribosomal RNA", at positions 28 to 504 of the family's 1533-position model. The record is from RNAcentral.
GAUGAACGCCGGCGGUGUGCCCAAUACAUGCAAGUCGUACGCACUGGCCCAACUGAUUGAUGGUGCUUGCACCUGAUUGACGAUGGAUCACCAGUGAGUGGCGGACGGGUGAGUAACACGUAGGUAACCUGUCCCGGAGCGGGGGAUAACAUUUGGAAACAGAUGCUAAUACCGCAUAACAACAAAAGCCGCAUGGUUUUUGUUUGAAAGAUGGCUUUGGCUAUCACUCUGGGAUGGACCUGCGGUGCAUUAGCUAGUUGGUAAGGUAACGGCUUACCAAGGCGAUGAUGCAUAGCCGAGUUGAGAGACUGAUCGGCCACAAUGGAACUGAGACACGGUCCAUACUCCUACGGGAGGCAGCAGUAGGGAAUCUUCCACAAUGGGCGCAAGCCUGAUGGAGCAACACCGCGUGAGUGAAGAAGGGUUUCGGCUCGUAAAGCUCUGUUGUUGGAGAAGAACGUGCGUGAGAGUAACUGUUCACGCAGUGACGGUAUCCAACCAGAAAGUCACGGCUAACUAC